RNAcentral lists this ribosomal RNA (355 nucleotides) under Zeus faber (John dory). RNAcentral's name for it is "partial 12S ribosomal RNA". It matches the Rfam family "Bacterial small subunit ribosomal RNA", at positions 801 to 1360 of the family's 1533-position model. The record is from RNAcentral. Lineage: Eukaryota; Metazoa; Chordata; Actinopteri; Zeiformes; Zeidae.
AAACCUUGAUGGUAACCCUUACCCCCCCCCAUCCGCCUGGGUACUACGAGCACCAGCUUAAAACCCAAAGGACUUGGCGGUGCUUUAGACCCCCCUAGAGGAGCCUGUUCUAGAACUGAUAACCCCCGUUAAACCUCACCAGCCCUUGUUAAUACCGCUUAUAUACCGCCGUCGUCAGCUUACCCUGUGAAGGUAUAACAGUAAGCAAAGUUAGUAAAACUCAAAACGUCAGGUCGAGGUGUAGCGAAUGAGCUGGGAAGAAAUGGGCUACAUUUUCUCUUGAGAAAAAACGAAUGGUGUGUUGAAACACCCACCUAAAGGAGGAUUUAGCAGUAAGUGGUAAAUAGAGUGUACC